GUUUUUAUAGUUUAAAAUAAAACAUUGGUCUUGUAAACCAAAAUUAAGUUUAAUACUUUAAAAACU
RNAcentral lists this transfer RNA (66 nucleotides) under Ercheia cyllaria. RNAcentral's name for it is "tRNA-Thr". It matches the Rfam family "tRNA". Rfam says of the family: Transfer RNA (tRNA) molecules are approximately 80 nucleotides in length. The record is from RNAcentral. Lineage: Eukaryota; Metazoa; Arthropoda; Insecta; Lepidoptera; Erebidae.